CGGGAUAGCUCAGCUGGUAGAGCGAGAGGACUGAAUA
RNAcentral lists this transfer RNA (37 nucleotides) under Bathiorhamnus cryptophorus. RNAcentral's name for it is "partial transfer RNA-Phe". The record is from RNAcentral. Lineage: Eukaryota; Viridiplantae; Streptophyta; Magnoliopsida; Rosales; Rhamnaceae. RNAcentral also lists the same sequence under 1 other name.